RNAcentral lists this long non-coding RNA (614 nucleotides) under Mus pahari (shrew mouse). RNAcentral describes it as "lncRNA (MGP_PahariEiJ_G0004475.1)". The record is from RNAcentral. Lineage: Eukaryota; Metazoa; Chordata; Mammalia; Rodentia; Muridae.
ACUUAUCUAAAACAUGAAUUUUUGUGUGUUAUUUUGUUUGUAGCUUGAUGAUGUGCUCCGUGAUUGUGAACUUUGUAGAUGACAACAUCUUGCCACAGCACAAAUGUGUGCAUGCUCACGUGUGACUUAAGACUCACAGCAUUGUGCAACUUCCCGUUCCCUUCCAGGCACAAGGAGUCAAAGUGGCACCGUGGUUAUGUGUGCUCAUGGUUUCUGGUCCAGAUAACUUUGGGCUGCUGCAGAAGACCCUCUCUUUGAUUGCUCUGGAAUCCUCACAAGCAUACAACGUUAAAUCCACGAAAUAGGUUGCAUGGGUCCAGAAACACACAACACUGGUCCUCGAGAAUUAUAGAGAAAGUUAACUGGAUUCAGUCCAGUUUGGUGGGAGGGAAAAACAUGGAGGGAUUGUUUUUGACGUGACUUGAUGGCCCCAGUGUAUAUAAUUAUAUCCAUUUGGAGUCUUUGAAGCACUGGGUCUCAGAGUAGAAGAGAUGAAGACAUUCAAAUCCAACUCAUCUCUCUUGACAUGUUCAAAAUCAUCUGGCAGAAGAACAAGGAUAUCCAGUUUUCAUAGCAAUGGUCUUUUAAAAAUAAACUUCUAAUUCUCCUCCAAG